CUGUGGACAAUCUCUCCUAGGUAUUGCUUUGACUCGAGAAAGUUCUCCUUUUUCCUUUAUUUAGUGUGUUCAUUUCUUCUACAAUGGCUUGUUGUGCUUGCUCUUUGAGUCAUUGGCCUUAUCUCGUUCUACUUCUUUCGCUUUUCCUAAACGUGCUUCCUUUUUCACCAUAGGACCAUUGUAAUGCCAAUCUAGUUCAAAUUGCAUUCGAUGGAUAAUUGGAUGAAUUUAGAGAUAAAAGUGGUUGAAAGUCUAAAUGAGGAGGUUCUGUUGAACUAAGGAGUUGGUCUUUUACACAGAAAUAAAGAGUGAAUGAUGGUGAUGCGAGUGGAAAUCUAGAGAUGACUUGGUUGCGAGUAAAGAAUUCCAAGCUGGUAUUAGUAGAAUGAAGGGAUUUUAUUUAUAGGCACAUAGAUUCCUUUUAACUUCUCGACCAGGUUGUUGCCUUUGCAAGAUUUUUUCCAUAACCUAGCUGGUCAGUCAUCUACCCUAACCGUAAGUGUACCAUACUCUUGUAUUGCCUUCUUGUUGCCCUUCUUCGUACGCCAGUUAAAGUGUCCAUGAAAAUAACUAACAUGAAUUGGAGGGGAUGCCAUGUAUGCUAGAUAGACUAGCUCUGUCAGAUGCAGAAAUGCUUGAUUACCACUUGGAGUUGGUAGGUUUAGCCACUGCAGAAUAUUAUCUAAAUGUCAUUAGGCAUCUGAAAAGAUCUUAGAUUCCUGAUUAUGACUCUCACAGUGUAAUUUUACUGCUGCCUCCUCUUCCUUUACUAAUUGAGCAUUCUUUAACUAACUGAGCAUGCCCCGCAAGGAGAGAUUUAUUGGAUACUGAAAUAUAGACUAUAGGCAGAAAGUUUCUUACAUUUUGUAUUGCUUGAAGUUUUAUUUAUCUUCUUGUCAUUACUAGGGGGCAUUUCGUCACGUCAGUUUGAUUAAUCAAGUUUGAUGGUGGGAGUUCUAACUUUUGAAUAGGAUAUAUCUCGAGCUAUGCUGCGUACUUGUAUGACAAUCUGGUCAAGACAGAUGGAGUAGAAAUUGGAGAAAGCAAAAAGACUAGGAGGGUCAGGGGAGCUACAUCCAAGUAUGUUGGGUUCCUAUAUGACUUAAUAUUUUCGUAAUUCAAAGUUGUAAGAACUUAGAAUUAGAUGCCUAGCCUUGGUAGUCGUUGAUGUCUAUUCUCACCGAAAAAAUUUAGAGAGGAGAUUUUUUCUCUGGAAACAUCUUAAUGCUUCGGUCAUCAUAUUGUCUUCUGGAUAUGGAGAAUGUUUUGAGUGCACUAUAGUACUAGAGCCAAUCCUUGAAUGGUUUCUCUUAAGAUCCUAAGUUGUAAAUACUAUUACACUUGUAAUCCUCACCUGAAGUAAUUUUCCGUGCAUCCACUUCGCCUUGAGGUUCCAUAAUUGAACAAAAAGGUUUGUUUUUUGAUGAUAUUGGAUUGGAGGCUGCCAACAAGAUAUAGACUCCCUUGCUUUAGAUGACCUACUAGCUCAAAAAAGCCCAUAUCGAGUGACUAAUAUCCCUCAGUUAUUUUGUACAGUUAUUACAUUUUCCCUCACUUCAUAAAUUUUGAUUAACAUUUUGUUGGUUAAUGUCUAUCCUCUAUCUUUCCUCUUCUUCUAUUAAUUUUACUGGGACAAAAUAUUCUCUCUCUCUCUCUCUCUCUCUCUCUCUCUCUCUCUCUCUCUCUCUCUCUCUCUCUCUCUCUCUCGUUUACAAUGAAUUCACUUUCUUUGCACAUUUCAAUGUGUGUCGUCAAUACUAGCUUCUCUUAAUCAUUCUAGUCUGCUCCAGGUAAAUGUGUAACAUCAUUAUGCCGGUGUCCUGAUGGCAAGGUUGUUGUCUUGGGACUUGAAGACGAUACAGUUUUACUGCAUGAUGUCGAAGUAAGUUUUCUAUGUUGUUACUUGAACUACGUUUUCUAUGUUGUUACUUGAACGUUACCCUCAUUACUUCUCAACUAGAUAUUCCUCCUGAAACGUUCCUUUAUCAUCAAAACGUGUUUUUCUCUAGUCUCUCUUGGGAAAUUCUGAAUUGCUCAAAAUCUGCAUGAUGCAAUGCAAACAACAAACUUGCUAACUGAACAUUCAGCUGCUAAUAGAGGUGGCACUCCAUUUUUAUUGGUCAUGUCCCUCAAUGUCAAGUUAACAAUGGAUUGGUAGAUAGGUCAAUCUGAGCAGGAUAAGAUUAACAAAAAAUUUUAUUAGAAAAUUCUAUUUGAACAUGACCCAUUUGUUAAAUAGGCAAGAGAUGUAUAACCUGUUUAACUAAUUUGAUUGAAUUGAAUGGGUCAUUCCCAUCCUAACAUGACCAACGUGACAUAUGUACCAUAUGCAUAUCUUCAUCAAUGUCAAAUAAGUUUGAAAAGGGACUAGCCAUAAGCUUACAAACUACAUGAAAUGUUUUAUUUAUAUGGUGUGAUCAAAUCAUAAUAUGUAACAACUAAGGAAACCAAAUUUAUGUAUGAUUUUUUAUUAGAGAACUUACUAAACUAAAUAUAAACAGGUCAUGAUAGGUCAGGUUGUUGAUCAAGUUGGCUCUAUCAUUUAGUUAUAUAGAUUACAUGAGUCAAUCUGUCUUUGCGGUUUGAACUUUGAACAUGGAACAAUAUUCGUUUAUUAAUUAACUGUUAAGUAGGUAGCCUCACCUAAGUGGUCACAUGGAAAUGUGAGUCAUGAAUAAAAAAAUUAAAUCUUUCGAUUGUGGAUCGUGAUUUUCAUCCAAUGGAAUCAUAAAAUCUGAUAUAAUGUUUGAGAUUGGUAUUCCAUGACAUAUGUAAAUUAAUUAUUAGAUAAUAACUAAUCACAAAGAUACUUCAAAUUCAACUAAUUUUAUUAUCUCCAGACAUGAAAUAUUGCUACAAAUUAUUUUUCUUUUGCCCAAUGAGUACCCAUUUGACUGCAAGGACGCAAAGAUCUUAUACAUGGUAUUGUAAUUGGAAUCCCAUUCAUAGAAUUGAGUAUGAGACAAUCAAAACAUCCACUAAGCCUGAUGCAGCCAACAAAAUCAUGCAGGAUGACUACCAAGUUUUUGGUGAAGAUUGACUUUAAAACUCAAACAAGGGUCAGGAUUCUUCUUGAAGUUUAAUCACUAAAAUUAUCAACUAGGAUUUGAGUAUUAUUAGGAUUUUACAAAAUUUCCUUUUCUUUCUUUUUUUAAGCUUGCAUAGUAGGAUCUUGCGUAUACUCCAAUAAUGUUUCUUGUUAUUGAACUUGGCAAGUGUUUGCUUUGCAGAUUGUGUGAUGCAAUUCAUCUUUGGCAUGAUGCUUAAGAAACCCUGGGUGUGUUGCUUGGGCAAUUUUGCAUGUGAUGCUUAAAUAUUUAUUCUUUAUUGUGGGACUCAGUCCUAUAUCAAAGCCGUGAAAUGUUUUUGACAUUACAUUGUUGAUACAUGCGUUAAAUUAUGAAUCAAGGAAAUUGAUUGACUCAUAUCUAAUCAGUGAAAUCAGCAGUGAGUUACUUUAAUCACAUAUCAUACAGAAUUAAUAUGCUCAUUUAAUAGAUUUAUAUACUUUAGGAGUUGAAUCUUAUUGAUGUGUUCAAUUGCAUUCUCGUGUAGGACAAGAUUUUUACUUCGCUGCUAAUGUUGUCAUAGAUGGUUGAGACUAUUUCAAUUGUCAACGACAAAUUACAGGAUAGUGUGUGCUGGGGUCCAGCUUGUGGUGAGAAUCUACAUCUAUGGUCUAGGUGGAAGGUGCUGUACUGAAGCAUUCAUUCAUGACAUGCUCAUUUUCAUGAAAGUUAAUAACUUCUUUCAAUUGUUAUAAAUUUGUUCAGUUCAGUCAAAUUAGGAAGGUAAUAAUUUAGGUG
This 3806-nucleotide long non-coding RNA is filed under the name Eucalyptus grandis. RNAcentral's name for it is "long non-coding RNA (EGRA_LNC000787)". Lineage: Eukaryota; Viridiplantae; Streptophyta; Magnoliopsida; Myrtales; Myrtaceae. The record is from RNAcentral.